AUGUUUUUUUCUUUACUUUUCAGAGCUCUACAGUGCUGACGUUUAUCAAGUAAAGACACACAGCACAGCCUUGCAUAAAUAAUGGCACUGGGCCAAGUACAGCUGAGGUGGUUGCCAGCACAACUCCAUUGAAGUCAAAGGAAUUGCACCACGGAAGAUUAAUGGAGAAAAAGUCACAACAGCCAAGAACAACCGAGGAUGGAGGAAGGAAGAAGGAUAAAUGCAAGAGUGUUUACAGGACAGUCAGAUCUUCACAGCCUUCUGAGGUGUCAAAGUGUACACAAGGUCAUUUUGCCCUGCAUAAUGCCAGAUCAAGAAAGAGAGGAAUAUCUGGCCUGACAUGCUGGUCCUACCUGCAAAGUACCUGGGAUUAGUGACCUUUCACAUCACAGCUGUCUUUGGCACUGAGAAGGGGUAGUAUUCUCUGUUCAUGACCCAUAUCUUGGGCACUUUGUCCUCAACUAGCAUUGACAUAGAAUAUUUGAGGUAGGCUUCAGCUUCCUUACUGAGUCCAGCCAAGGGGGAGCCUGAGGGAGCUCUUCCUCUCAUAUGGGUUUCUUGGUUCACAUUAAAUUUCCUUAACAUCAAGUGCUUUUUGGGUUACACCAAAGCUUCCAGGACAAUCAGAAGACAUUGGCUGAUGUGACACAGAGCCUAGAGAUGACCCUUGUUUUCCUGAAUCAGCAAGGUAAGGAGUAGCCACAGGGUAUACAAUAUCUACACUAUGUUUAAAAGACAGCUCUCCUUUUGUUCUAAGUGCCGUCUGUUGGACAGUGCUCUGCUCUCUAGGAUGACAGUGCUAUCACUUUUUUACUUUAAUAUGAAGCUUCCCAGAGACAGCAAAUUGUUACCUGUAUCUUCUGGUGCAUUUUAGUGGGGGAUGUUUAGACAUACUUCCUGCGAGCACUCUUCAUCUUCAUCCACGGCUACAGGUUGAUCCAUUUUACCAUUUAGUUAAUAGUCACGUAUUUUAUUUAACUUGAUGUGCUUUACUUAAUGUGCUCUCUUAAUCUGCCAUAUUCAGAAGUAUUUAUAAAGUAGCUCUGACUGUAUUGUUUUAGCAAUACUAUUCUAAAGACAACAAGUAAAAACAGAUGUGCACACCGAGAUAUCAUCUUUUGUGUAAUCAGCUGGCAUAAUUGGGAAAGUUGGAAAAAUUUUCAGGCACACCAGUCUUCCUCAGAUCUGAAACAGAAUUAGCAGACUUCAGAGCUAAACACAAAAUGAAAGCAAUUCCUCAGG
Molecule: long non-coding RNA, 1242 nt
Organism: Cuculus canorus (common cuckoo)
Lineage: Eukaryota; Metazoa; Chordata; Aves; Cuculiformes; Cuculidae
Exons: 4
Source: RefSeq, a predicted model, not a curated record